RNAcentral lists this ribosomal RNA (363 nucleotides) under uncultured bacterium. RNAcentral's name for it is "partial 16S ribosomal RNA". It matches the Rfam family "Bacterial small subunit ribosomal RNA", at positions 338 to 699 of the family's 1533-position model. The record is from RNAcentral.
CCUACGGGCGGCAGCAGUGAGGAAUAUUGGUCAAUGGGCGGAAGCCUGAACCAGCCAAGUAGCGUGCGGGAUGAAGGCCCUACGGGUCGUAAACCGCUUUUGCACGGGGAUAACACCCUCCACUUGUGGUGGUCUGCAGGUACCGUGCGAAUAAGGGCCGGCUAAUUCCGUGCCAGCAGCCGCGGUAAUACGGAAGGCCCGAGCGUUAUCCGGAUUCAUUGGGCUUAAAGGGAGCGUAGGCGGGCGUUAAAGUCAGCUGGAAAAUUGCGCGGUUAAACCGGGCACCGCAGUUGAAACUGGAGGUCUAGAGUUCACAACAGGCAGGGGGAAUGCAUGGUGUAGCGGUGAAAUGCAUAGAGAUCA